AGUGAACGCUGGCGGUAGGCCUAACACAUGCAAGUCGAACGGCAGCACAGUAAGAGCUUGCUCUUACGGGUGGCGAGUGGCGGACGGGUGAGGAAUACAUCGGAAUCUACUUUUUCGUGGGGGAUAACGUAGGGAAACUUACGCUAAUACCGCAUACGACCUACGGGUGAAAGCAGGGGAUCUUCGGACCUUGCGCGAUUGAAUGAGCCGAUGUCGGAUUAGCUAGUUGGCGGGGUAAAGGCCCACCAAGGCGACGGUCCGUAGCUGGUCUGAGAGGAUGAUCAGCCACACUGGAACUGAGACACCGUCCAGACUCCUACGGGAGGCAGCAGUGGGGAAUAUUGGACAAUGGGCGCAAGCCUGAUCCAGCCAUACCGCGUGGGUGAAGAAGGCCUUCGGGUUGUAAAGCCCUUUUGUUGGGAAAGAAAAGCAGCAGGUUAAUACCCCGCUGUUCUGACGGUACCCAAAGAAUAAGCACCGGCUAACUUCGUG
Molecule: ribosomal RNA, 492 nt
Filed under: uncultured bacterium
Lineage: Bacteria
Description: partial 16S ribosomal RNA
Rfam family: Bacterial small subunit ribosomal RNA
Source: RNAcentral